GACGAACGCUGGCGGCGUGCUUAACACAUGCCAGUCGAACGGAAAGGCCCUGCUUUUGUGGGGUGCUCGAGUGGCGAACGGGUGAGUAACACGUGAGUAACCUGCCCUUGACUUUGGGAUAACUUCAGGAAACUGGGGCUAAUACCGGAUAGGAGCUCCUGCUGCAUGGUGGGGGUUGGAAAGUUUCGGCGGUUGGGGAUGGACUCGCGGCUUAUCAGCUUGUUGGUGGGGUAGUGGCUUACCAAGGCUUUGACGGGUAGCCGGCCUGAGAGGGUGACCGGCCACAUUGGGACUGAGAUACGGCCCAGACUCCUACGGGAGGCAGCAGUGGGGAAUAUUGCACAAUGGGCGGAAGCCUGAUGCAGCAACGCCGCGUGCGGGAUGACCGCCUUCGGGUUGUAAACCGCUUUCGCCUGUGACGAAGCGUGAGUGACGGUAAUGGGUAAAGAAGCACCGGCUAACUACGUG
Molecule: ribosomal RNA, 468 nt
Filed under: uncultured bacterium
Lineage: Bacteria
Description: partial 16S ribosomal RNA
Rfam family: Bacterial small subunit ribosomal RNA
Source: RNAcentral